Ananas comosus (pineapple) is the source of this 559-nucleotide long non-coding RNA. RefSeq lists it as uncharacterized. The record is from RefSeq and is a predicted model, not a curated record. The transcript is spliced from 2 exons. NCBI's taxonomy places the organism in Eukaryota, Viridiplantae, Streptophyta, Magnoliopsida, Poales, Bromeliaceae.
GUACCGUCCGGCUGCGAUCGAUGCAGUGUGGCUCCCAUGUCCUGAGCUGUCUCUCGGAGAUUUGAAUUUGAUUGUCUUAUCAUCUGCUUUUGUGCGGUCAUCGCCGCUCUUCUCUUCUGCUUCGUAUCCGCCAAGUGAAGUUGAAGGAUGGAUCUUCUUCUCCUUGGCACAGCCCUUUCCAUCUCGGAGGCACCGGAGGCAUCCCAUCAUCACUGAAACUUGGUGAUUCUGGCCAUAUUCCUGCCAAACUAAGCAGCAGUUAGUAAACAAAUCUUAGACUGAGUAUGUUAUAAAGUUGAGUUGAUGUUCUUGCUGAGAAAGUGCCAUAAAACGUGUAUGAUUAGUAAGGAAUAGAAGUUUCAGUGUCAAAUUAAACCAUCAGUUUGGUAAACAAGUCAGGGAAAAGCCAAAACAUAUAUCCUGAAAGUGCUGCAGAAUAUUUGGAGAAUUUUGUAGCAGAGUGAAAAGACUAGGAAAACUGCCUUGUAGAUUAAGACCAGAAUAUUUGGGCAAAUAUUUUAGGUAAUUAAUCCAAAAAGCUUAGAAAGAUUUGAUUUUA